CAGGUGCUGCAUGGCUGUCGUCAGCUCGUGUUGUGAAAUGUUGGGUUAAGUCCCGCAACGAGCGCAACCCUUAUCCUUUGUUGCCAGCACGUCAUGGUGGGAACUCAAAGGAGACUGCCGGUGAUAAACCGGAGGAAGGUGGGGAUGACGUCAAGUCAUCAUGGCCCUUACGAGUAGGGCUACACACGUGCUACAAUGGCGUAUACAAAGAGAAGCGACCUCGCGAGAGCAAGCGGAACUCAUAAAGUACGUCGUAGUCCGGAUUGGAGUCUGCAACUCGACUCCAUGAAGUCGGAAUCGCUAGUAAUCGUAGAUCAGAAUGCUACGGUGAAUACGUUCCCGGGCCUUGUACACACCGCCCGUCACACCAUGGGAGUGGGUUGCAAAAGAAGUAGGUAGCUUAACCUUCGGGAGGGCGCUUACCACUUUG
RNAcentral lists this ribosomal RNA (430 nucleotides) under Providencia rustigianii. RNAcentral's name for it is "bacterial SSU rRNA". It matches the Rfam family "Bacterial small subunit ribosomal RNA", at positions 1035 to 1464 of the family's 1533-position model. The record is from RNAcentral. Lineage: Bacteria; Pseudomonadati; Pseudomonadota; Gammaproteobacteria; Enterobacterales; Morganellaceae.